Molecule: ribosomal RNA, 425 nt
Filed under: uncultured bacterium
Lineage: Bacteria
Description: partial 16S ribosomal RNA
Rfam family: Bacterial small subunit ribosomal RNA
Source: RNAcentral
GUGGGGAAUCUUGCGCAAUGGGCGAAAGCCUGACGCAGCCAUGCCGCGUGAAUGAUGAAGGUCUUAGGAUUGUAAAAUUCUUUCACCGGGGACGAUAAUGACGGUACCCGGAGAAGAAGCUCCGGCUAACUUCGUGCCAGCAGCCGCGGUAAUACGAAGGGGGCUAGCGUUGCUCGGAAUUACUGGGCGUAAAGGGCGCGUAGGCGGACAGCUUAGUCAGAGGUGAAAGCCCAGGGCUCAACCUUGGAAUUGCCUUUGAUACUGGCUGUCUUGAGUUUGGGAGAGGUGGGUGGAACUCCGAGUGUAGAGGUGAAAUUCGUAGAUAUUCGGAAGAACACCAGUGGCGAAGGCGACUCACUGGCCCAAUACUGACGCUGAGGCGCGAAAGCGUGGGGAGCAAACAGGAUUAGAAACCCGGGUAGUCC